AGUGAACGCUGGCGGUAGGCCUAACACAUGCAAGUCGAACGGCAGCACAGUAAGAGCUUGCUCUUACGGGUGGCGAGUGGCGGACGGGUGAGGAAUACAUCGGAAUCUACUUUUUCGUGGGGGAUAACGUAGGGAAACUUACGCUAAUACCGCAUACGACCUACGGGUGAAAGCAGGGGAUCUUCGGACCUUGCGCGAUUGAAUGAGCCGAUGUCGGAUUAGCUAGUUCGCGGGGUAAAGGCCCACCAAGGCGACGAUCCGUAGCUGGUCUGAGAGGAUGAUCAGCCACACUGGAACUGAGACACGGUCCAGACUCCUACGGGAGGCAGCAGUGGGGAAUAUUGGACAAUGGGCGCAAGCCUGAUCCAGCCAUACCGCGUGGGUGAAGAAGGCCUUCGGGUUGUAAAGCCCUUUUGUUGGGAAAGAAAAGCAGCAGGUUAAUACCCCGCUGUUCUGACGGUACCCAAAGAAUAAGCGCCGGCUAACUUCGUG
Molecule: ribosomal RNA, 492 nt
Filed under: uncultured bacterium
Lineage: Bacteria
Description: partial 16S ribosomal RNA
Rfam family: Bacterial small subunit ribosomal RNA
Source: RNAcentral